CCUUCGAUAGCUCAGUUGGAAGAGCGUGGGACUGUAAUAGGUUAACACUUCGCUAUCCCAAGGUCACUGGUUCGACCCCGGUUCGAAGGA
This 90-nucleotide transfer RNA is filed under the name Agrocybe pediades. RNAcentral describes it as "tRNA-Tyr". It matches the Rfam family "tRNA". Rfam says of the family: Transfer RNA (tRNA) molecules are approximately 80 nucleotides in length. Their secondary structure includes four short double-helical elements and three loops (D, anti-codon, and T loops). Lineage: Eukaryota; Fungi; Basidiomycota; Agaricomycetes; Agaricales; Agrocybaceae. The record is from RNAcentral.